RNAcentral lists this ribosomal RNA (252 nucleotides) under uncultured bacterium. RNAcentral's name for it is "partial 16S ribosomal RNA". It matches the Rfam family "Bacterial small subunit ribosomal RNA", at positions 524 to 776 of the family's 1533-position model. The record is from RNAcentral.
UACGUAGGUCCCGAGCGUUGUCCGGAUUUAUUGGGCGUAAAGCGAGCGCAGGUGGUUUAUUAAGUCUGGUGUAAAAGGCAGUGGCUCAACCAUUGUAUGCAUUGGAAACUGGUAGACUUGAGUGCAGGAGAGGAGAGUGGAAUUCCAAGUGUAGCGGUGAAAUGCGCAGAUAUAUGGAGGAACACCGGUGGCGAAAGCGGCUCUCUGGCCUGUAACUGACACUGAGGCUCGAAAGCGUGGGGAGCAAACAGG